GGAUAUUCAUGGUUUUUGUUGAGAAAUUCUUUUUUUUUUUUUUUUUUAAGGAUAAACUACAAAUUCUUGUGAGUCCUAAUUCCUCCUUAUCCACAAAGCAGACAAUGUUCCCAUGGAGUGGUUUGAUCUAUAUACACUGUGACAGUGGACAGAAGAAAACUGUGAAAGUUCAAAUUCGAGAAGAUUUGACUCAAAGAGAACUCUUACCUCACUCGGCCUCUGGUCUAUCUGGAGUUCUUACCCCAGCACCUGAGCCUUCCUUUCGUCAUUUGGUAAAACCAUUGACAAAGCCACCUUCCACGAAAAUCGAAAUAAGAAGCAAAACUGUUACUUUUCCCACAACAGAACCUGGUAAAACUUCAGAGAACUGUCUGGAGCUCGAGAAUCACGGCCCUACAGAUGCGAGGUGGCACUUGUCGUCUUUUGCUCCGCCAUAUGUCAAGGGAGUUGACGAAAGUGGAGAUGUUUUUAGAGCUACCUAUGCAGCAUUCAUAUGUUCUCCUAUUUCUGGGAUUUUGAAAAGCAGUGGAAUCCAGAAGGUCUCCAUCACGUUUUUGCCCAGAGAUAGAGGGGAUUAUGCCCAGUUUUGGGAUGUUGAGUGUCAUCCUGUUAAAGAGCCUCACAAAAAGCACACGUUAAGAGUCCAGUUCUCAGGACAAAGUGUCAGAGCUGAAAACAAGCCUGAAAAUGCACACCCUUCCACAGACACCCUCAUUAAAGUGGAUAAUGCACUCACUCCUCGAAGACGUGCUGUGUCAGAGACCUCUGGUGUCCUGCCCAGGCUAGUGGACUUGAAUCACCGAGGAGUCUAUGCCCCAGAAGAUGUGUACACAUUUCUGCCAACCAGAGUUGGAGAAUCAAGGACACUAAAAGUCAAUUUGCGAAAUAAUUCUUUCAUUACACAUGCACUGAAGUUUUUGACUCCUCAAGAGCCUUUCUACAUCAAACAUUCCAAAUACUCUUUGAGAGCCCGGCAUUACAUCCACAUCCCCGUGCACUUCAGGCCGAAGUCCGCUGGCAAAUUUGAAGCUUUGCUCAUUAUUCAGACAGAUGAAGGCAAGAGUGUUGCUGUGCGACUGACUGGUGAAGCCCUUGAAAAAGAUUAACAAGAACUCAUUUUUUUGUAAAGUAAAUUACAUAAGUUAUAUUUUUGCAACUUCUUUUUUUCUACACUACGAUUAUGCUGUUGUAUAUAUUUUGUAUGAUAAAUUGAUGUGUACAACUGUAGAUAUUCUUGGUUUUGAGAAGUUAACCCUGAAGACCUGACUAACAUAUCAUGUAUCCAGUCCAUAGAAUUGUAUUAACUUUUCAGGGAGAAGAGAGUUCUAUUUUUGCAUUGAUGAUAUAUUCCUAAUAAAUAUGGCAUAUAUUUUAAUGUGAUAAGUCCAAAAAUAAACUUAAUUUCCAUUGAGCCUUUUUGUGUGCUGUCAUAUAA
This 1435-nucleotide long non-coding RNA is filed under the name Ictidomys tridecemlineatus (thirteen-lined ground squirrel). RNAcentral describes it as "lncRNA (ENSSTOG00000030182.1)". The record is from RNAcentral. Lineage: Eukaryota; Metazoa; Chordata; Mammalia; Rodentia; Sciuridae.